Molecule: ribosomal RNA, 862 nt
Filed under: Trichoderma ceciliae
Lineage: Eukaryota; Fungi; Ascomycota; Sordariomycetes; Hypocreales; Hypocreaceae
Description: LSU rRNA
Rfam family: Eukaryotic large subunit ribosomal RNA
Source: RNAcentral
AACCAACAGGGAUUGCCCCAGUAACGGCGAGUGAAGCGGCAACAGCUCAAAUUUGAAAUCUGGCCCCCCGGGGUCCGAGUUGUAAUUUGUAGAGGAUGCUUUUGGUGAGGCGCCGCCCGAGUUCCCUGGAACGGGACGCCACAGAGGGUGAGAGCCCCGUCUGGCUGGCCGCCGAGCCUCUGUAAAGCUCCUUCGACGAGUCGAGUAGUUUGGGAAUGCUGCUCAAAAUGGGAGGUAUAUGUCUUCUAAAGCUAAAUAUUGGCCAGAGACCGAUAGCGCACAAGUAGAGUGAUCGAAAGAUGAAAAGCACCUUGAAAAGAGGGUUAAAUAGUACGUGAAAUUGUUGAAAGGGAAGCGCUUGUGACCAGACUUGGGCGCGGCGGAUCAUCCGGGGUUCUCCCCGGUGCACUUCGCCGCGCCCGGGCCAGCAUCAGUUCGUCGCGGGGGAUAAAGGCUCCGGGAACGUGGCUCCUCCGGGAGUGUUAUAGCCCGCUGCGCAAUACCCUGCGGUGGACUGAGGACCGCGCAUCUGCAAGGAUGCUGGCGUAAUGGUCACCAGCGACCCGUCUUGAAACACGGACCAAGGAGUCGUCUUCGUAUGCGAGUGUUCGGGUGUCAAACCCCUACGCGUAAUGAAAGUGAACGCAGGUGAGAGCUUCGGCGCAUCAUCGACCGAUCCUGAUGUUCUCGGAUGGAUUUGAGUAAGAGCAUACGGGGCCGGACCCGAAAGAAGGUGAACUAUGCCUGUAUAGGGUGAAGCCAGAGGAAACUCUGGUGGAGGCUCGCAGCGGUUCUGACGUGCAAAUCGAUCGUCAAAUAUGGGCAUGGGGGCGAAAGACUAAUCGAACCUUCUAGUAGCUGG